AAGAAGAAGAAAAAAAUGAAAUAAAUAAAAACCACAACAAAUAGGAAGAAAACGCAUCAUGAAAACAUGUUCAAGCUUGCUGGUAAUUAAACAUUUGGAAGAUUAAAACGGCCAGAAGGUGUAGCUAAAUCAUAGGAGGGCACAGAUCAAACAGUCCAGAGAAAUUAAAUUGAUGCCAGAGAACUCAAGUACCAAGGUUCUAAACCCAGGUCCGGUCCAACACUACCGAGCUAACACUUGGUGUCAUUCCUGCCAGCUACAACAUAAUGGUGCCAUGCCUCAGAUGGUGUGGCAGGAUUCCAGAGGAGCGCAUGCUGGACCGCCUUGUGACAUAGUGCCCCACCAGCUCCUCACUUUGCAUCGGGUGUACUUGAGUGAAUUGCUUGGAAUUCCAGACCUCUUUGUUUUAAGGUGACCAAGACUCCUGUAUAUUUCCUGACGGACUGUAAAAGCCAAUUGCAAAUUGAAACUACCUUCGGGUGGCCAAUUAACCCCUUAGGCGGGCUAUUCAAGUUCACAGAGUGUUCUCAGGAAACCAGGAUCGCAGGCUUUUUCAUAGUCACAGGAGCGCUUAAAGAAAUCAGAAGAGUUAGCAAGCACACAUUCCAGGGGAGUCUGUGGGGGAAGAAUUUCCUUGUUCCAUCCUGGAAGGCAGAAGGCAAUGAAAACACAAAACAAGAAACACAGAAACACGAACAGACAGAUAAAAAUUACACUACACCCGCGAGACCAAACCAACUCGGUACUGCAGAGCAGAACCGAAACAACAGCCAGACAACAGCUUCCUGUUCUGACC
Molossus molossus (Pallas's mastiff bat) is the source of this 796-nucleotide long non-coding RNA. RefSeq lists it as uncharacterized. The record is from RefSeq and is a predicted model, not a curated record. The transcript has 4 exons. Lineage: Eukaryota; Metazoa; Chordata; Mammalia; Chiroptera; Molossidae.